ACAAGGUAUCUUUACAUGGUCAGGACUAAACACCUUGAUCCAUGCCUCUGACCACCGGCCACUCUUGGCUUAGUGAUGGCCUUUUCUCUUGAGUGCACCUCCUGUACAUCCUCUUGGCAUCAGGUAAGUCACUUCUGAGCAGUUUCUCCAAUUCUCCAACAUCCUUUCUAUCUUCAGGGUAGGAAAUGGGCAGACACAUAGAUAGGAUUUGGGACUGGGCAAUCUCCACGGUUCAGGAAUAUCCAUCUUGGGAGGCUCUGUAAAACGUGGGCAAUGCCUUCUUCUUUGUCUUAGUUUGAUGAUGGACAGAGAUCACCUCUUGUGUACCUGAAACAUCACUCAAACUCCAGCAAGAAUCAGACCACACACACUAGGAUCAGCCCUUGAUAAUUCACCAAGUCUGAUCCCAAUGUUUUAAAAAUAAAUAUGCAAUGAACAGAAUCUAAACAACUCAUUCAGUUCAACUCCAUGCAUACUAACAUCACUAACUGCUCAGGUAUGAUAACUCAUCAAUAACAAGGCAAUUAGGCUCUUUUUAUGAAUUUUAAAGACAAUAAACAGAGACUAAACAACUCAUCUAAUCAUCUUGAACAAUAUAUAUAAUGCAAUACAAGAUCAGGAGGCUCUCCUAGACCUUUAUCAAUGCAACAAGACAAUGACAGUAGCUAACCAAUCGCCUAGCACAAUACAAACAGAAACAAUUAAUCUAGGACAGGAACUAAACAAUACCAUGCUAGACAACUCCUAGAAAUAAUUUAAGAAACAGAGCAACACACACAAUUUAAGUAUCAUGGGACAGAAACUGUGAUUUUUAAAGAGAUCUCUACUCUGGUUGUAUGUGUGUGUGUAUAAACUCCAAUGGAGAAAGAUAAGAGCUUGUUUUAGGUGAUUUGAGAACAGAGAUUGAUGAGAGUGUUUAAGUGUUUAUGAGACUAAAGAGAAUGAGAUUAAGAGACUGAGAGACUAAGAGAAUAAGUGUUUAGAGAUUAGAGUUUCAGAUUCAAGAACUAGUUUUUCAUUUCCAUGAAGGAGAGGGGAAAUCCCCCUAACUCUCUUAAGAGUUACAAUUUCGUCCAUACAUCUGUUUAUAUAGGCUGUUACAAUCUGAGACAUCAUAAACCUAUAUCUAAUGGCUGUAAAUCACUUAAGAGGAAUGGAUGGUGUAGAUGAGCUGGUCUUGUUGCAAUCUGAGUAGUUGAUGCUGAUUGGUUAAGAGGAGAUGGAGUCUGAUUGGUUUAAUUCAAAAUGGGGAAGGCUGAACUGUGAUUGGCUCUCCUUAGGCUCCUGCUAAUCUAUCCAGAGAUAAGUCCAGGUACAUGGUCGUGGCUCCCCUUGUCUUUACAGCCAAGGCCAGCCUGUCCCAAGACCAAACUAGCCAAUCACACUCCAAUGGCAUCUUCUUGAUUCUCCUUUGAUGCCAUCUGAUCAGAACCUUAUCCACAAGACUGGGACCACUUUUAUAACUCCUAAACCUUGCCCAGACAUUGCACAAGCCUUCCCGGGACGUCAGGUUCGCCCUAUUUUUGCACCAACUCCAAAACUUCUCAAAUGGCCGAGUUAUGCAAAUCUGGGUCGCCCUGGUCCGUACGGAUCCGUACUGUCCGUACAUGUCCGUACUGCCUCGCCCUAUCUUUGCACACUCGCUCAUUUGCUCCCAAAUACACUUCUAAGUCUCUCCUAGACUUGACCCUAACUUUGCACAUCCAUCAGGACACUUCUGGACACCUUGCCCUAUCUUUUGCACAAGCCCCAACUCAACUCAACACUUUUAGUUUCUCCAUUUCUUCUCUUCAAGUUAACACUCCCCCUCAAGCUUGACUUUAGUUGAUCCUAUGUCAAGCUUGGAACCUUGAAGAACUUCCUCAUUAAAAACCUCACCAAGGAAAACCCUUUGGGACAAAACCUUGAUGAGGGAAAAAGAGUAAAGUCUCCAAGGCCUAGGGAUUGGCCAGUGAGCUCUUGUGCCUUAGAACCAGUGUGGUUGGACACAAGAAGCUCUGGAUCACGGCCUAAACUGGUGCAGCAACUCAUCAAGACUUUGCGCACUCAACAACUCAGCUUCACCUCUUCAUGGAACCGGUUUGAAGUCUCCCCCUCUCAACUGACUUCACAGCCUUCUUAGAGAAGCUAGGACACGGCCAGAUCAUCUUCAAAACACCAGUGAGGCUGAUCAACACUUCACACACGGCUUGCCCUCUUCAUAGAACUGGUUUGGAUCUCCCCCUCUCAACAGACUUCUCAGCCAUCUUAGAGAAGCUAGGAACUGACCAGGAACAUCUUUAGUGAGGCUCAAGCAAUGGUACCUGAUACAUUAUCCCAAAGGUGCAUCAGUACCUAUCAAAAACAAGAAAAUGAAUAUCCUGCAUCACAUUUGAUGCACACAAUCUCACAAUUCAAAAUGAAUAUCCUGCAUCACAUUUGAUGCACACAAUCUCACAAUUCAAUCAUAAUCAUCUUAAGUAUCUUUUCAAGCACAAGCAAUGAAUAAGAUGAAUGAAAAAGAUUGAAAGGAGUUUUAAAAAGUCUAAGGGAACUUCCCUUGUGUUCUUGUGAGUUUCCAAACUCGACCAAUGCACCAUCUUCAUGGCAUCAUCAACUUCUUGGAAAGGCAGAAUGGAUUCAUCAGCUUCUCCUCAAUCACCUCUCAUUGAAGCCGCAUUGAUGGAGAGCCUUCCUCCUCACUCGCCAAGGCUGCUCUGAACAGCCUCUUGCCUAGACACGCCACUGACUUGGUCCGGUUGAUGAUCCUUGUAGAAGCUUUUGCAAAAGGCUUGUUACUGACCAUGGAUCAUAUGCAUUAAGACUCCCCCUCAAGCUUAGAACCGAGACUAGAAGGAGCUAAGCUUGUGAUGAUCCUAUGCAUCUCCAUGGUCUAAUAACUAUCAUCUUUCAUGAUAGCUUUCUUCUUGUGAGUUUACUCUCUUCCUUAACCAGGAACUAGGGUGUUUGAAUCACCAUAGAGAGUCUCACAAGACACACCUCUCAUUGCAUAAUGACCCAUGCUACACUUCCUGUAGACUAAGGACUAGAUAUGUCAAAUGGUAUUAUGCAAUGGUCAUCUCUCAUUGCAUACUCAAUCACACUACACUUCCUGUAGAUUAUGGACUAACAUGUCCUAGUGAUGAUAUGCAAUGGCACAAGACCUUUGUCUCUACAUUCUUGGCUGUUGGUGAGUUACAUGUAUCACUUUCCUUGUGUACCUAACACCACCACAACUCAAUGCAAGAUCAGAUCAUCCCAUUGGGAUCAAACCAAGAUAAUUUAUCCUGUUUGAUCACCAAUGCCACAGCAAUAUAUAAACCUUGAAACAAGCCAAUCAAUUAAGGCAAGAACAAGCAGUUUUCAAUCUCUAAAAUGACAAUGCAAGCUUUAUACAAUACAUUGACAAUUUAGGCUCAUUUUUAAAUGCAUCAAUACAUGAAUGCACAAUCUUAAAGCAUUAACUCCAUGAAUGCAACAGGUUCAAUCCAUGAGACAUAUUAAAGCUAUGCACACCAGUUUCAAUCAAGACCAAUGAUGCACGCACCUUAGACACUUUCUAAUUGAUGCUAGACUUUCAUUUUUGGAAUAAACAUAAACAUUAGCAACAGUACACACUCGGAUUGAACUUAGACAAUAUGAGACAUGCUUAUGUAUGCAAAACAGCUUUUCAAACAUGAUGCAAGCAGUAUAGACAUUCUACUCAAUUCUACAACACAUUCAUUCUGAUUCAAGCUAUGGCAACACACAAGACAAUGCAAUAAACAAAACAUGAGAUUCUGGGACUCUAGACACCACUCACAGCACAAUAAAUAAAGACACAAGCGCUUAUUAAUGGUUAGGAGGUUUGCUUACAAACAAGAGAUCCGAGCUGAUCUCUUGAACCUCCAUGGGCACGGUUCACUUGAACUUGGCAGGUUUGAGGCUUGGAUUCAGUAUCCAACACCUCUCCUUGGUGUGCCCAUCCCUCUUGCAAUGCUCACUCUCCAAGCAUCUCACACCAGAAGCUUAUUGAGUAGCUUUCUUCUUCCCUCUACUUCGGCUGGAUCACUCCAUGAUCAGCUUGCAAUGGUCUUGGUUUAAAUUGCAUCACCCUCCUGGUGAUGCUCUUCUUUGUAUGUCGACUGUCCUCUCUACACUCAUCUGAUGUGUAGGCUAUGGUGACUUAACCACCAUGGACAGAACCACAAGUCAUCUCUCCAUUGUCACAACAUCCUCUCUACCCUCUUUGGAGCAGGCUGUGGACUUCCCACAGAAUGUUGGCAACAGGCUUCAUUUUAUCCUUCUCUUGUAGUGAUAAGGAGGAAACAUGUCUUGAACUUUAGCUCUUCAGGUUGGUCAUUUGAAUCCCCACCACAAGCUUGAGAUGAGCCUCAAUGAACUUCAAGACCAGGAGCACAUCACCCUAACAGCUGCGCUUAAAUCACUGAUCCACCCUUUUGCCUUCAGCUUCAAGUACCCUCAGAUCACCGGCCUUCCUCAUGGCUUAGGUGGUGACCUUCUUCUUCUUGUGUGUCUUGAACCAGGAGCUCAACAACCUCGUGGCCUGCGCUUCUUAAACCGGCUUCUGCACACAAGAACCUUCCCAUUGCUCCACACAAUGGUUGGUCUUCCGCUUGUAUGUCUUGAACCAGGAGCUCAACAACCUCGUGGCCUGCGCUUCUUAAACCAGCUUCUACACACAAGUAUCUUCCCAUUGCUCCACACAAUGGUUCAAGUCUUCCUCUUGUCUUGGAUAGGUGGUGAGCAAAGAACACUUCUUGUGAACCUGAAACACCACUCAAACUCCAGCAAGGAUAAGACACAAGAGUAUUGGGAUCAAUCCUUGAUUAAUCAUCAAGUUUGAUUCCCAAUCUCACAAGCAUUGCAACAGAUUAAAACAAGUCAUUUUCAAGUUCUAUCUUUGCAAGCAAUCUCUCUAAGCACAAGCAUUUUCUUUUUCAGUUUAUGCAAGCUACUUAGGCAUUUUAAAGCUUCUUUACUCAGCAGUUAGACAUGAAUCUAAUGCUUCAAUGUAAGACAGCCACAAGACUAUAUGCAACAGCUUUCAAUUCAGUUUCAAUCCAUGUAUGCAAGCAGAUUCAAUCAAUCACAACAAGCAUCAUUAUGAACCGGAUAUAAGCAUAUUAACAUACCUAGUAAUCCUAGUAAUACUGUUAAAUUACUAGUCUUUUUAAAGCACUUACACAACUGCUAGUAAACUUAGUAUAACUAGUACAAUGAAAGGAUUACUAGGGAACCAAGCUCUUUAAGCAUCCUGGGACAGAUUCUAAAUUCAUUUUAUUUCAUUUAAUAAUCUUUUAAACAGUCCUCAGGUUUUCAAUCACAUCACAACAUCACAACCAGUCAAUAUACUCAAGCUUUAUACAAGAGAAAGAGGUUUCUUACAGCCAAGGAACUAGUGUUAGUUCCUUGAAACUCCAUAGAUCAUGGCAAGACAGUGAGCUGUUGGUGUCAACUCCAACUUCUCCUUCUCCCAUGGACCUUUCUCUUGCACUCUCCAUGUCAAUGACCACACCUUUCUUCAUGUUGAAUUCGCCACACCAGUACCAGCUGAAAGCUGUCACCUUUCUUCUUGGACAGUGAAUAAGAACCCUUUGCUUCCCAGGGUUCUUUCUUCUUCAUGGGCUUCAUGAGAGAGUGUAGAUCAGCCAGAGACAGCUUCUGGACACCAUGGAUGAGCAUACCUUCUUCUUGAAGAGUUGAACAGCCGGCUGGACCAUGGAGCUUCUUCUUGGCUUCAAGCGACAUGGAGGAGAGCUAUGAGCUUCAGUGGAAGCAAGAACCAAGUUCAGAUGAACCUGGCUCUGAUACCAUGUGAUUUUUAAAGAGAUCUCUACUCUGGUUGUAUGUGUGUGUGUAUAAACUCCAAUGGAGAAAGAUAAGAGCUUGUUUUAGGUGAUUUGAGAACAGAGAUUGAUGAGAGUGUUUAAGUGUUUAUGAGACUAAAGAGAAUGAGAUUAAGAGACUGAGAGACUAAGAGAAUAAGUGUUUAGAGAUUAGAGUUUCAGAUUCAAGAACUAGUUUUUCAUUUCCAUGAAGGAGAGGGGAAAUCCCCCUAACUCUCUUAAGAGUUACAAUUUCGUCCAUACAUCUGUUUAUAUAGGCUGUUACAAUCUGAGACAUCAUAAACCUAUAUCUAAUGGCUGUAAAUCACUUAAGAGGAAUGGAUGGUGUAGAUGAGCUGGUCUUGUUGCAAUCUGAGUAGUUGAUGCUGAUUGGUUAAGAGGAGAUGGAGUCUGAUUGGUUUAAUUCAAAAUGGGGAAGGCUGAACUGUGAUUGGCUCUCCUUAGGCUCCUGCUAAUCUAUCCAGAGAUAAGUCCAGGUACAUGGUCGUGGCUCCCCUUGUCUUUACAGCCAAGGCCAGCCUGUCCCAAGACCAAACUAGCCAAUCACACUCCAAUGGCAUCUUCUUGAUUCUCCUUUGAUGCCAUCUGAUCAGAACCUUAUCCACAAGACUGGGACCACUUUUAUAACUCCUAAACCUUGCCCAGACAUUGCACAAGCCUUCCCGGGGAAAUCCUGUCCAAUAGGAAGCUUGGGCGUUCCUGGUCUUUACACAGGCUGUCAUGAGCUGUCUUGUGGACUGAAUAAGCCAAUAGGAGUGAAGACCUUAUCCAUACACGGACAGCAUCUCACCUGAUCCUUUCCAAGGCCAUCCAAGAUGCCAUUUUGAUCCCUUCUUCAUGUAUAAGGUCCAAAUGAGUUUCUCCAUGCCUUGUGACCCAAGUCAUGACCAGACCAUGCUGUACGGACUUCCUGGCCGUACACAUUGUGCCCUAAGCUUGCACAUUCCUCAACUAUGCUUAAAUGGUCGAGAUGAUAAGUUUUGGGACGCCCUGGUCCGUACGGUCCGUACAGUCCGUACGGCCGUCCGUACGGAUCGCCCUAACUUUCUCAUUAACCAUUGCAGCCUAAACUCCUCCAAUGUUCUCCCAUGUCUGAUUAGAACCCUUCUUGGACAUUGCCCCAAUCUUGUAUCAGCUUCUUAUCACUUCUGAAGCUUCAUAGAACUCUUCUUAAGAUCUUCAAGAGCUUGCCCCUAUAUGUACAAGCUCCAUUCUUCUCUUCAGUUCAACACUCCCCCUCAAGCUUGACUUUAGGAGAUCCUAAGCCAAGCUUGGAACUCUGAAGAGUCUCCCUCAUUAAAAACCUUACAAGGAAAACCCAUUGGGACAAAACCUUGCAAGGGAAAAAGAGUAGAGCUCUCCAAAGCCUAGGGAUUGGCCAGUGAGCUCUUGUGCCUUAGAACCAGUGUGGUUGGACACAAGAAGCUCUGGAUCACGGCCUAACAGGUGCAGCAACUCUUCACAGCUUUGCGCACACUUCACACUUCACACUUCAGCUUCACCUCUUCAUGGAACCGGUUUGAAGUCUCCCCCUCUCAACUGACUUCACAGCCAUCUUAGAGAAGCUAGGACACGACCAGAUCAUCUUCAAAACACUAGUGAGGCUGAUCAACACUUCACACACGGCUUGCCCUCUUCAUAGAACUGGUUUGGAUCUCCCCCUCUCAACAGACUUCUCAGCCAUCUUAGAGAAGCUAGGAACUGACCAGGAACAUCUUUAGUGAGGCUCAAGCAAUGGUACCUGAUACAUUAUCCCAAAGGUGCAUCAGUACCUAUCAAAAAAACAAGAAAAUGAAUAUCCUGCAUCACACUUGAUGCACACAAUCUCACAAUUCAAUCAUAAUCAUCUUAAGUAUCUUUUCAAGCACAAGCAAUGAAUAAGAUGAAUGAAAAAGAUUGAAAGGAGUUUUAAAAAUCUAAGGGAACUUCCCUUGUGUUUUUGUGAGUUUCCAAACUCUCUCAAUGCACCAUCUUCCUGGCAUCAUCAACUUCUUGGAAAGGCAGAAUGGAUUCAUCAGCUUCUCCUCAAUCACCUCUCAUUGAAGCCGCAUUGAUGGAGAGCCUUCCUCCUUACUCGCCAAGGCUGCUCUGAACAGCCUCUUGCCUAGACACGCCACUGACUUGGUCCGGUUGAUGAUCCUUGUAGAAGCUUUUGCAAAAGACUUGUUACUGACCAUGGAUCAUAUGCAUUAAGACUCCCCCUCAAGCUUAGAACCGAAACUAGAAGGAGCUAAGCUUGUGAUGAUCCUAUGCAUCUCCAUGGUCUAAUAACUAUCAUCUUUUAUGAUAGCUUCCUUCUUGUGAGUUUACUCUCUUCCUUAACCAGGAACUAGGGUGUUUGAAUCACCAUAGAGAGUCUCACAAGACACACCUCUCAUUGCAUAAUGACCCAUGCUACACUUCCUGUAGACUAAGGACUAGAUAUGUCCAAUGGUAUUAUGCAAUGGCUAUCUCUCAUUGCAUACUCAAUCACACUACACUUCCUGUAGAUUAUGGACUAACAUGUCCUAGUGAUGAUAUGCAAUGGCACAAGACCUUUGUCUCUACAUUCUUGGUUGAUGGCGAGUUACAUGUAUCACUUCCCUUGUGUACCUAACUCCACCAAAACUCAAUGCAAGAUCAGAUCAUCCCAUUGGGAUCAAACCAAGAUCAUCCAUCCUGUUUGAUCACCAAUGCCACAAUAAUAUAUGAUACUUGAAACAAGCUAGACAAUCAAGACAAUCAAGCAAAGACAAUCAAUUCAGUUUUUUUUUUUUUUUUUUUUAAAUGCAACAAUAGAUGAAUGCAUUAGGUUACACUAACUAUAUGAAUGAAACAGAUUCAAUCCAAAAUGGAACACAAGUCUAAAUGAUACUACUGCAAUUAAGGCGACAAGAGUGACUCAAUUCAUGCUUAUGCUCACUAGUUUUAUCAAGGCCAAUGAUUCAAGUAGCUUAGACAUACUUCUAAAUGCUUAUAAGACAUCACUGAUGGAUUUAACUAUGGCAUAGCAACAAUCAGAACUGGAUUGAGUCGAGACAAGCAGAUUUCAAUUUCUAACAAUGACAAUGCAAGUUCUAUACAGUUCUCUAAAUGCAAAGCUUAUAUCAGGACAUUUGCAAUUUAGGCUCAUUUUUAAAUGCAUUACUACAUGAAUGCACAAUCUUAAAGCAUUAGCUAUAUGAAUGCAACGGGUUCAAUCCAUGAGUAAUAUUAAAGCUCUGCACAACAGUUUCAAUCAGAACCAAUGAUGCAAGCAACUUAGACAAUUUCUAAUUGAUGCAAGACUUUCAUUGAUGGAUUAAACAUAGGCAAUAGCAUCAGAUAACACUAGGAUUGAACUUAGACAGUAUGAGAUAUGCUUAUGUAUGCAAAAGAACUUAUCAAUCAUGAUGCAAGCAGCAGAGACAUUCUACUCAAUUCUACAACACAUUCAUGAUGAUUCAAGCUAUGACAACACUCAAGACAAUGCAAUAAACAAAACAUGAGAUUCUGGGACUCUAGACACCACUCACAGCACAAUAAAUAAAGACACAAGCUCUUAUUAAGGGUUAAGAGGUUUGCUUACAAACAAGAGAUCCGAGCUGAUCUCUUGAACCUCCAUGGGCACGGUUCACUUGAACUUGGCAGGUUUGAUGCUUGGAUUCAGUAUCCAACACCUUUCCUUGGUGUGCCCAUCCCUCUUGCAAUGCUCACUCUCCAAGCAUCUCACACCAGAAGCUUAUUGAGUAGCUUUCUUCUUCCCUCUACUUCGGCUGGAUCACUCCAUGAUCAGCUUGCAAUGGGCUUGCACUGGUCUUGGUUUAAAUUGCCUCUACCCUCCUGGUGAUGCUCUUCUUUGUAUGUCGAUUGUCCUCUCUACACUCAUCUGAUGUGUAGGCUAUGGUGACUAAACCACCAUGGACAGAACAACACGUCAUCUCUCCAUUGUCACAACAUCCUCUCUACCCUCUUUGGAGCAGGCUGUGGACUUCCCACAGAAUGUUGGCAACAGGCUUCAUUUUAUCAUUCUAUUGUAAUGAUAAAGAGGAAACAGGUCUUGAACUUUAGCUCUUCAGGUUGCUCAUUUGAAUACUAGCACCGCAAGCUUGAGACCGAGAAUAGGGGAGAUCCAAGCUUGAAAUGAGCCUCAAUGAACUUCAAGACCAGGAGCACAUCACCCUAACAGCUGCGCUUAAAUCACUGAUCCAUCCUUUUGCUUUAAGCUUCAAGUACCCUCAGAUCACCGGCCUUCCUCAUGGCAUAGGUGGUGACCUUCUUCUUCUUGUGUGCCUUGAACCAGGAGCUCAACAACCUCGUGGCCUGCGCUUCUUAAACCGGCUUCUACACACAAGAACCUUCCCAUUGCUCCACACAAUGGUUGGUCUUCCGCUUGUAUGUCUUGAACCAGGAGCUCAACAACCUUGUGGCCUGCGCUUCUUAAACCAGCUUCUACACACAAGUAUCUUCCCAUUGCUCCACACAAUGGUUCAAGUCUUCCUCUUGUCUUGGAUAGGUGGUGAGCAGAGAACACUUCUUGUGAACCUGAAACACCACUCAAACUCCAGCAAGGAUAAGACACAAGAGUAUUGGGAUCAAUCCUUGAUUAAUCAUCAGGUUUGAUUCCCAAUCUCACAAGCAAUGCAACAGAUAGGCACAAGGCAUUAUCAAGUUCUAUUCUUUGCAAGCUAGCUCUCUAAGAACAAGCAAGAUCCUAACAGAUUCAAGACAAGUUACUUAGGCACUUUUAAAAGCUUCUUUACUCAGCACUUUAGACAUGAAUCUAAUGCUUCAAUGUAAGACAGCCACAAGACUAUAUGCAACAGCUUUAAAUUCAGUUUCAAUCCAUGUAUGCAAGCAGAUUCAGUUAAUCACUCUAAGCAUCACUAUGAAACGAAGCUAAGCAUAUUAAUCACAUUCAGUCACCAAACAAAGCUCUUAAAGUAUCCUGGGACAGAUUCUAAACAUUUUAAUUUAUCAAUCUUUAACAGUCCUCAGGUUUUCAAUCACAUCACACAAUACAACCAGUCAACAACACAAGCUCAUUAUCAAGAGGGUUUUAAAAUCGCUUACACAAGGAACCAGGUUGGUUCCUUAAAACUCCAAGGGGACUGGCCAUGGCUUUUGUUGAAUCUGAGAGUCUGGAUAGUCACCCACCUCCUACUCCUUCAGUUCAUGGCCACCUUCUUGUUUCUCCAACUCAAAGACUCCUCCUUUCUUCAAGUCUUCUAGGCGCCAUCAUCUUGACAGCUUUCAUGAUGAACCGGGUGAAGAAAGCUCUUGGAGGAGGCGCCUUGGAUGAGGUUCGUGAGUCCUCUCCAUACACUUCUGCUUCCAAUGAGUCUCUCCAUCAGUAUAGACAAGGGAAAGGAUAAGAGACACGCCCUUCAGUCUUCUUCUCAUGGAGAAACUGAACUCGGAUGGGAAUGUCUUCAAGGGUUGGAUUUGAGCUGAGGGUAGAGCUUGUGUUGUGCGGAAGCUACAGCUCAGGUUCUGAUGAACCUGGCUCUGAUACCAUAUGAUUUUUAAAGAGAUCUCUACUCUGGUAGUAUGUGUGUGUGUAUAAGCUUCAAUGAAGAAUGAUUAGAGCUUGUUCUAGGUGAUAUAUAGGAAAGGAUUAGUGAGAGUGUUUAUGAGUAUGUGAGACUUAAGAACAGAGAUUAAGAGACAUAAGAGACUAGAGAGAGACUGAGAGAAUAAGAGACUGAAGAUUAGAGAAGGAGAAGGGAAACCCCCUUACUCACUUAGAGCUUACAAAUCGUCUCUGCCUCUUAUUUAAAUAGGACAGACUGUUUUCUACUAGGGUUUACAGUCAGAUACAUCACACAUGUGAAGUCAAACAAGGAGGAGCCUUAUUUUGAAUUCUAUGGACCAUAAGCUUCACAUGCUUGGCCAAUAGGAAGCUUGGGCGUUCCUGGUCUUUACACAGGCUGUCAUGAGCUGUCUUGUGGACUGAAUAAGCCAAUAGGAGUGAAGACCUUAUCCAUACACGGACAGCAUCUCACCUGAUCCUUUCCAAGGCCAUCCAAGAUGCCAUUUUGAUCCCUUCUUCAUGUAUAAGGUCCAAAUGAGUUUCUCCAUGCCUUGUGACCCAAGUCAUGACCAGACCAUGCUGUACGGACUUCCUGGCCGUACACAUUGUGCCCUAAGCUUGCACAUUCCUCAACUAUGCUUAAAUGGUCGAGAUGAUAAGUUUUGGGACGCCCUGGUCCGUACGGUCCGUACAGUCCGUACGGCCGUCCGUACGGAUCGCCCUAACUUUCUCAUUAACCAUUGCAGCCUAAACUCCUCCAAUGUUCUCCCAUGUCUGAUUAGAACCCUUCUUGGACAUUGCCCCAAUCUUGUAUCAGCUUCUUAUCACUUCUGAAGCUUCAUAGAACUCUUCUUAAGAUCUUCAAGAGCUUGCCCCUAUAUGUACAAGCUCCAUUCUUCUCUUCAGUUCAACA
Molecule: long non-coding RNA, 12232 nt
Filed under: Brassica rapa (field mustard)
Lineage: Eukaryota; Viridiplantae; Streptophyta; Magnoliopsida; Brassicales; Brassicaceae
Description: long non-coding RNA (BRAP_LNC008495)
Source: RNAcentral